RNAcentral lists this long non-coding RNA (303 nucleotides) under Bombyx mandarina (wild silkworm). RNAcentral describes it as "uncharacterized LOC114239865, transcript variant X1". The record is from RNAcentral. Lineage: Eukaryota; Metazoa; Arthropoda; Insecta; Lepidoptera; Bombycidae.
GCCACUACCCACGCCACUACGCACGCCACUACGCACGCCACUACGCACGCCACUACGCACGCACACGAUGAGGAAUCACAAAGCACAAACAACGUUUAGGCAAUGAACGCGCGCGGUCGCACUCGUUGAGUCGGUGAGGGGGCCCGACGACGUCUUGUGAAUACUUUGUACAUAUAAUAAUGAACUAUAAGUGAUAAAUAUUUUGUCGUACGCUCUAAUUAUAGGAAUAUUUUGUUGUGAAUCGGUACUUCUCAAUUUGUAUUUAUAAAUAAUUAUUUCAAAAUAAAGACUUGUCAGUCUUGA